GUAAGAAGAGAGCUCUGGGUGAAGAUGUGGAGAACAAGGACAUGGGAGGGGGCAUACCAAAAUACGUGAACUUGAUUCUGAGAGCUCUGUGAAACUAAAGGAGAUAGUGGCAGUGACAUGCCUGGAUUGCAUUUUACAACGUGGGCAGGACUGACAGAAAGGAGGCACUAGGUCCCUUCCAUGGAGCAGACAAUCUUGGAUUCAAUGGACCAAGGCUCAUUUCCAUCUUUUCUCCCACUUGUUCAAACACCACUGUUAGAUGGAAUGCCACUAAAUUGAGACAUCAGCCAUGACAAACAGAGGAUGCAGAGACUUGAAGAGUCCAAUGCCCUACUACAAUGGGAGAAAAGUAGCCCCACUCACUUUGAGGCUCAGAGAUAUUCACGGAAGAGGCGGGUGGAAAGUUUUGUAAGAGCCAGAGAAGGGAUGGAGUAUGACCUGGAUGUUCCUCUGACCCUGUGAUGAUGAGCCAUGGACCCACCUCCUUCCCACACUCUGAAAAGAAGCCACUUCCUUUCCCUCUUCCAGCCAAUCAGUUGACCGUAGUCACUUGUAGGAGAGGGGCUAAGGGUAAAAAAGCUGGGAAAACCAUGAGGCUGACCUCUUGCCAUUUUUAUGAGGUUGUCCGGAAUCACAGGAUUUAUGUCUAGGUGUGGACUUUCAAACACAGCUAUGAAUGGGAGCGGGGGGGGCACCCCAAGCUCAGUUAACAAGUCCAAUAAACUCCUUAAAAUUCUUCAAACCAAGGUUUGAAUAAUUCUUUUCUCAGGUUGUCGCAAGGACCAUGGGAGGAGGGGAUUGGAUGCCAUAUGCGCCUCCCAGCAGUACA
Molecule: long non-coding RNA, 829 nt
Organism: Nannospalax galili (Upper Galilee mountains blind mole rat)
Lineage: Eukaryota; Metazoa; Chordata; Mammalia; Rodentia; Spalacidae
Exons: 3
Source: RefSeq, a predicted model, not a curated record